RNAcentral lists this ribosomal RNA (230 nucleotides) under uncultured bacterium. Its description in RNAcentral is "partial 16S ribosomal RNA". It matches the Rfam family "Bacterial small subunit ribosomal RNA", at positions 563 to 791 of the family's 1533-position model. The record is from RNAcentral.
AAGCGCGCGUAGGUGGUUUGUUAAGUUGGAUAGUGAAAUCCCCGGGCUCAACCUGGGAACUGCAUUCAAAACUGACUGACUAGAGUAUGGUAGAGGGUGGUGGAAUUUCCUGUGUAGCGGUGAAAUGCGUAGAUAUAGGAAGGAACACCAGUGGCGAAGGCGACCACCUGGACUGAUACUGACACUGAGGUGCGAAAGCGUGGGGAGCAAACAGGAUUAGAUACCCGAGU